Molecule: long non-coding RNA, 71 nt
Organism: Etheostoma cragini (Arkansas darter)
Lineage: Eukaryota; Metazoa; Chordata; Actinopteri; Perciformes; Percidae
Exons: 2
Source: RefSeq, a predicted model, not a curated record
GCCAUUACUUUCAAUUUAUGGUUCGGAGUAAUUUUACCCUAGGGUCCUUUGCACCAUGACCUCGAGCCAAA